This is a non-coding RNA of Daphnia pulex (common water flea), 1777 nucleotides long. The record is from Rfam. Lineage: Eukaryota; Metazoa; Arthropoda; Branchiopoda; Diplostraca; Daphniidae.
AAUGCAAGAAUCAAGCGAGACGCCGCGGACGGAGACCGUGAAAGAUCCCACCCGGGCGACCGCCCACUCCGCUUCACCGAGUAAGUGAAGCGACCAUGAAAGUAGUGGUAUUUCAUCGUCGACGGACCCGAAAGCCCGUCUCCCACUUAUGCUACACCUCUCAUGUCACUCCACAAUGCCGAACUAGAGUCAAGCUCAACAGGGUCUUCUUUCCCCGCUGACGAAACAAGGCCCGUUCCCCUUGCAGUGGAGGAGCGAUUCUGACGUGCAAAUCGAUCGUCGAGUUGGGUAUAGGGGCGAAAGACUAAUCCAACCAUCUAGUAGCUGGUUCCCCCCGAAGUUUCCCUCAGGAUAGCUGGUGCUCGCAAAGAGAACAAACGGAGUUUCAUCCGGUAAAGCGAAUGAUUAGAGGCCUUGGGGUCGAAACGACCUCAACCUAUUCUCAAACUUUCAAUGGGUGAGAAGCCCGGCCUUUUUCCUUGAUUGAGGCCGCGGCAAUUGAUUUGAAUCUGAGCGCCCAGUGGGCCAUUUUUGGUAAGCAGAACUGGCGCUGUGGGAUGAAACAAACGCCCGGUUAAGGCGCCUAAACGACGCACAUUUCGGAUCCCACGAAAAGGAGUUGGUUGCUAAAGACAGCAGGACGGUGGCCAUGGAGGUCGGAAUCCGCUCAGGAGUGUGUAACAACUCACCUGCCGAAGCAACUAGCCCUUAAAAUGGGAGGCGCUAUAGCGUCGUGCCUAUACCGGGCCGUCGGUCGGCAGAGCGAAUAACGUCCGUGUCAGCUCGAAGAGAGCGACGGCGCUGAGGCCCCGACGAGUAGGGGGGUCGCGACGGUGAGCGUAGAAGGGUUGUGGGCGUGAGCCUGCCCGGAGCCGCCGUCGGUGCAGAUCUUGGUGGUAGUAGCAAAUACUCCAGAGGGAUCCUGGAGGACUGACGCGGAGAAGGGUUUCAUGUGAACAGUGGUUGGACAUGAGUCAGUCGAUCCUAAGCCGCAGGCGAAAGCCGACCUAGUGACGGGCGUGAUGUGUUGCAUCUAUCGUAUGAGUAACGGGCGUGGUUGUGGUUGAGUCGUGUGUGGGUGAUUCUUCUGUUGUGUGCGCGAAGAGAAAAUGUAAAGUUGCGGGGUCAAAGAAAACACAUGAAUAAGAAAGCUUGUGAGAAUGAUAGAAGGUUAAAGAAGUGUCUUUUUCUUUUUUGAUUUCUCUUAGCCGGUAUUUGAUUGUUUUUCUCCCGUCUCUUUUAUUUUCCUAGUACCGUUCAUCGCGUUAUGGCAUCGCAUGCUUUUUUCGCAGCGCCUUUGAAAAUAUGAAACCAUGUAUCGUAUAACGUGAGACGCCACCCAGGUUAAGGCGAAAGGGAAUCCGGUCCUGAUUCCGGAACCAGGCUGCGGCUACGUCCGCGAUAAAACGACUUUAACCCUCGUAAUGUCACGGUCGCGGUAACGCGACACAAACCGGAGAAGCUGCCGAGAACCCCGGGAAGAGUUUUCUUUUCUGCUUGAGGGACCGAGACCCUGGAAUCCCGUCGCGGGGCGAGAGGGUUAUGGAUUUAGCUGUCAAAGGCUAUCCCGAAGAGCGUCGCGUUUCUGCGACGUCCGUGGUCGUUCUCGGCUGGCCCUUGAAAAUCCGGUGGGAGGGUUACGUUGUUGGACGUUCGCGCCUGCUCGUACCGAUAUCCGCAUCAGGUCUCCAAGGUGAACAGCCUCUAGUCGAUGGAUGAAUGUGGGUAAGGGAAAUCGGCAAAUUGGAUCCGUAACUUCGGGAUAAGGAUUGCUCUG